AUGGCUGCUACCGAGGCUGAGGCUGAUGUAGAGGAGGGAGAAGAGCCGAAGAAGAAGGAAAGGAAAGCAGCCCGAGCUGCUUUCACGUGGAUUCAAGCAAACUUUGCGCAUUGCCCUGCGGAUGCCACUGAUGAUGUGAUACAGACACAUGCUCGUGUCUAUAUGGGGUACGUUGUCUCGAGGACUUUGUUUCCUGACUCCACGGGCAAGAACGCUCCAUGGAUGUGGCUGAAGGCGUUGACCGUCUUCGAUAGCAAAUGGAGUUGGGGUUCAGCGACUCUUGCGUACUUGAACCGACAGGUAGUUGGUUUGUUUUGUUAUCAACUCAUUUGUUCAUUACCAAUGCAACCUUGUUGUCAACUUAACAUUGUUUUUCUUUCAUAUGCAGCUGGACGAUGCGUGUUGCAGGAUCACAGAUAG
Molecule: ribosomal RNA, 420 nt
Filed under: Triticum aestivum (bread wheat)
Lineage: Eukaryota; Viridiplantae; Streptophyta; Magnoliopsida; Poales; Poaceae
Description: partial small subunit ribosomal RNA
Source: RNAcentral